Molecule: long non-coding RNA, 451 nt
Filed under: Medicago truncatula (barrel medic)
Lineage: Eukaryota; Viridiplantae; Streptophyta; Magnoliopsida; Fabales; Fabaceae
Description: long non-coding RNA (MTRU_LNC003457)
Source: RNAcentral
UCAGCGUCAAUUCUAAAGAUAUGGCCCAAUUCUCACAAUAAUUUUACUCGUAGACAUAUUCCAUACAAAAACAGAGAAAGCAAGUGAUUCCUGCAUAUAGAAAUUUAAAUUAGAAAGUAAUUUGGGGAUAAGAAGAUGCAGGGAAGAGAUAAAACUAGCAUACAUCUUCUUCCAGAUAAUUGUCUUGAGAAAUGCUUAGAAAUCAAAUAUGCAUGAAUCAACAGAGUUUAGUGCAUGCAUCAACAGCCAUCAAUAUUCUUUAAAAAUUAGCAAAUAACAUACCAAGACAAUUUUAGUACUAUGAAAUUCUGAACAAAAUUCUGACUCAAAGCCAUAGAAAGAUAAAUUCUCAACUAAAUUUGUCCUAAAGGAUCACCUAAAAUCUGUACCAACAAAUUAUACUUAUUAUGUAUGCAGGUCCACUCGUCAUGAACUAAGUUUGUAAUUAAAA